This 349-nucleotide ribosomal RNA is filed under the name uncultured Methanolinea sp. RNAcentral's name for it is "bacterial SSU rRNA". It matches the Rfam family "Archaeal small subunit ribosomal RNA", at positions 991 to 1338 of the family's 1478-position model. Lineage: Archaea; Methanobacteriati; Methanobacteriota; Methanomicrobia; Methanomicrobiales; Methanoregulaceae. The record is from RNAcentral.
UGCAUGGCCGUCGUCAGUUCGUACUGUGAAGCAUCCUGUUAAGUCAGGCAACGAGCGAGACCCACGCCAACAGUUGCCAGCAUGUCCUCCGGGAUGAUGGGGACACUGUUGGGACCGCCUCUGCUAAAGAGGAGGAAGGAAUGGGGCAACGGUAGGUCAGCAUGCCCCGAAUUAUCCGGGCUACACGCGGGCUACAAUGGUCAGGACAAUGGGUAUCGACACCGAGAGGUGGAGGCAAUCUCCUAAACCUGUCCUUAGUUCGGAUUGUGGGCUGCAACUCGCCCACAUGAAGCUGGAAUCCGUAGUAAUCGCGUUUCAACAUGGCGCGGUGAAUAUGUCCCUGCUCCUU